GAUGAUAAACUUAUGAGAGAACAUUUCAUUUGGACCUGGCACUUAUGGAAGAAAAACGUAUGCAACAACAUUCCAUUCUUUCCAUUUUUAGACCUUCUCAAUUUAGAUCUUAAGAAAGAAAAACGUACAACAACCUUGUAACUCAUUUUAGCUAUCCAUUUUGUUCUUAAACGAGUGGAUGAAAGGCUACUUCAUCGAGAUGUAAAGUUAUGAGAGGUUCGAAAGGGAACAACCAAGGCUUGAUUCGACAUUUACGAGUUCGUAUGAGUAUGUAAGGUUAAACGUCUAUUUGAAUGAUUGAGUCGUUGUGGUCAUUCGAAGAUCGAAUCGAGGGGAUGCUACAUGUCAUGUUGCAGGUCCAGGCUCGCAGGCGACGGGGGUGGGAGUAGACGCUCCAGUUGAUCAACAGAAUUUUGGUGAGCUCCACUUCCUCCUGGAGUAGCCGAGUCGAGUCACUUGUGAUUUAGUCGUACAGGCUAUUUGGGUAGGCCGAGGCCCUGUCCCGACCAAGUUUUUUUUUUCAGACACUCUUAGAGGCUUUUGUAGACUGAUGGACACCUGUGGUCAGUAUUGUUAUGUAAGUAUUGUGUUUUGCA
Long non-coding RNA from Lycium barbarum (goji berry), 596 nucleotides. RefSeq lists it as uncharacterized. The record is from RefSeq and is a predicted model, not a curated record. The transcript is spliced from 2 exons. NCBI's taxonomy places the organism in Eukaryota, Viridiplantae, Streptophyta, Magnoliopsida, Solanales, Solanaceae.